UACGUAGGGUGCGAGCGUUGUCCGGAAUUAUUGGGCGUAAAGAGCUUGUAGGCGGUUUGUCGCGUCUGCUGUGAAAAUCCGGGGCUCAACUCCGGACUUGCAGUGGGUACGGGCAGGCUAGAGUGUGGUAGGGGAGACUGGAAUUCCUGGUGUAGCGGUGAAAUGCGCAGAUAUCAGGAGGAACACCGAUGGCGAAGGCAGGUCUCUGGGCCACUACUGACGCUGAGACGCGAAAGCGUGGGGAGCGAACAGG
RNAcentral lists this ribosomal RNA (253 nucleotides) under uncultured bacterium. RNAcentral's name for it is "partial 16S ribosomal RNA". It matches the Rfam family "Bacterial small subunit ribosomal RNA", at positions 524 to 776 of the family's 1533-position model. The record is from RNAcentral.